UCCUAAGCUGAGGCCGAUAGGCGUAGGCGAUGGAUAACAGGUUGAUAUUCCUGUACCACCAUUAUUCGUUUUAAGCGAUGGGGGGACGCAGUAGGAUAGGCGAAGCGUACUAUUGGAUUGUACGUCCAAGCAGUAAGACUGAGUGUUAGGCAAAUCCGGCACUCUUAAGGUCAAGCUGUGAUGGGGAGAGGAAAUUGUUUCCUCGAGUCGUUGAUUUCACACUGCCGAGAAAAGCCUCUAGCUAGAAUUGUGG
This 253-nucleotide ribosomal RNA is filed under the name Staphylococcus aureus. Its description in RNAcentral is "partial 23S ribosomal RNA". It matches the Rfam family "Bacterial large subunit ribosomal RNA", at positions 1389 to 1638 of the family's 2925-position model. The record is from RNAcentral. Lineage: Bacteria; Bacillati; Bacillota; Bacilli; Caryophanales; Staphylococcaceae.